Molecule: long non-coding RNA, 206 nt
Filed under: Capsella rubella
Lineage: Eukaryota; Viridiplantae; Streptophyta; Magnoliopsida; Brassicales; Brassicaceae
Description: long non-coding RNA (CRUB_LNC004079)
Source: RNAcentral
UAACCAUCGAAGCUGAAAUUUCUCAAAACUAGUAAAUAUGUGAUUUGUGCUUUGACGAUAUAUGUGACAACACAGCCCGAACUCUUAUAAAUCCUCUGUUUCCACAAAACAAAAGGUGUGAACUCUAUAUAUGGUCCUUUUAACUUUUCGUGAAAUUCCAUUGUGUCUAAAACAAACGAGCCACAACAAUACUCGUUAAAAAAAAA